Molecule: ribosomal RNA, 497 nt
Filed under: uncultured bacterium
Lineage: Bacteria
Description: partial 16S ribosomal RNA
Rfam family: Bacterial small subunit ribosomal RNA
Source: RNAcentral
GAUGAACGCUGGCGGCGUGCCUAAUACAUGCAAGUCGAGCGAACGGACGAGAAGCUUGCUUCUCUGAUGUUAGCGGCGGACGGGUGAGUAACACGUGGAUAACCUACCUAUAAGACUGGGAUAACUUCGGGAAACCGGAGCUAAUACCGGAUAAUAUUUUGAACCGCAUGGUUCAAAAGUGAAAGACGGUCUUUCUGUCACUUAUAGAUGGAUCCGCGCUGCAUUAGCUAGUUGGUAAGGUAACGGCUUACCAAGGCAACGAUGCAUAGCCGACCUGAGAGGGUGAUCGGCCACACUGGAACUGAGACACGGUCCAGACUCCUACGGGAGGCAGCAGUAGGGAAUCUUCCGCAAUGGGAGAAAGCCUGACGGAGCAACGCCGCGUGAGUGAUGAAGGUCUUCGGAUCGUAAAACUCUGUUAUUAGGGAAGAACAUAUGUGUAAGUAACUGUGCACAUCUUGACGGUACCUAAUCAGAAAGCCACGGCUAACUACGUG